RNAcentral lists this unclassified non-coding RNA (307 nucleotides) under plant metagenome. Its description in RNAcentral is "partial contains 5.8S ribosomal RNA, internal transcribed spacer 2, and large subunit ribosomal RNA". The stretch from base 1 to 105 matches the Rfam family "5.8S ribosomal RNA", at positions 50 to 154 of the family's 154-position model. The record is from RNAcentral.
GAAAUGCGAUAAGUAGUGUGAAUUGCAGAAUUUAGCGAAUCAUCGAAUCUUUGAACGCACAUUGCGCCCCUUGGUAUUCCAUGGGGCAUGCCUGUUCGAGCGUCAUUUCAACCCUCAAGCACUGCUUGGUGUUGGGCGUUUGUCCCGCCUACGCGCGUGGACUCGCCUCAAAGUCAUUGGCAGCUGUUCCCCUUCGGCUCGUAAGCGCAGCACAGUCGGCGCCCGGAGCUCUGGUGGGAUGGCGUCCAGCAAGCUAUAUUUUCAGGCUUGACCUCGGAUCAGGUAGGGAUACGCGCAGAACUUAAGC